RNAcentral lists this transfer RNA (72 nucleotides) under Camelus bactrianus (Bactrian camel). It matches the Rfam family "tRNA". From Rfam's summary of the family: Transfer RNA (tRNA) molecules are approximately 80 nucleotides in length. Their secondary structure includes four short double-helical elements and three loops (D, anti-codon, and T loops). RNAcentral also lists the same sequence under 2 other names. The record is from Rfam by way of RNAcentral. Lineage: Eukaryota; Metazoa; Chordata; Mammalia; Artiodactyla; Camelidae.
GGUGGUAUAGCUCAUUGGUAGAACGCCUGCUUAGCAUGCACGAGGCCCUGGGUUCAAUCCCCAGUACCUCCA